RNAcentral lists this ribosomal RNA (574 nucleotides) under Candida tropicalis. Its description in RNAcentral is "eukaryotic LSU rRNA". It matches the Rfam family "Eukaryotic large subunit ribosomal RNA", at positions 79 to 669 of the family's 3401-position model. The record is from RNAcentral. Lineage: Eukaryota; Fungi; Ascomycota; Pichiomycetes; Serinales; Debaryomycetaceae.
CUUAGUAGCGGCGAGUGAAGCGGCAAAAGCUCAAAUUUGAAAUCUGGCUCUUUCAGAGUCCGAGUUGUAAUUUGAAGAAGGUAUCUUUGGGUCUGGCUCUUGUCUAUGUUUCUUGGAACAGAACGUCACAGAGGGUGAGAAUCCCGUGCGAUGAGAUGAUCCAGGCCUAUGUAAAGUUCCUUCGAAGAGUCGAGUUGUUUGGGAAUGCAGCUCUAAGUGGGUGGUAAAUUCCAUCUAAAGCUAAAUAUUGGCGAGAGACCGAUAGCGAACAAGUACAGUGAUGGAAAGAUGAAAAGAACUUUGAAAAGAGAGUGAAAAAGUACGUGAAAUUGUUGAAAGGGAAGGGCUUGAGAUCAGACUUGGUAUUUUGUAUGUUACUUCUUCGGGGGUGGCCUCUACAGUUUAUCGGGCCAGCAUCAGUUUGGGCGGUAGGAGAAUUGCGUUGGAAUGUGGCACGGCUUCGGUUGUGUGUUAUAGCCUUCGUCGAUACUGCCAGCCUAGACUGAGGACUGCGGUUUAUACCUAGGAUGUUGGCAUAAUGAUCUUAAGUCGCCCGUCUUGAAACACGGACCAC